Long non-coding RNA from Pseudophryne corroboree (corroboree frog), 618 nucleotides. RefSeq lists it as uncharacterized. NCBI's taxonomy places the organism in Eukaryota, Metazoa, Chordata, Amphibia, Anura, Myobatrachidae. The transcript is spliced from 2 exons. The record is from RefSeq and is a predicted model, not a curated record.
CCCCAGCUAUUGAUGAGCUCCAGAGUGUGCCUGUCCAGGAAGAGGCUGUGGUUUUUCUGGAUACAGCAUCAUCGGCUGCUAUGGAGAUGGAAGCAGAGGCGAGGGGAGCAGACAGCGGCUCGGGAAUCCCUGGUGGUGCGCCAAGCAAGAGUAGCUCAAAACCUACUCAGCGCUUGCAAUCACUUCACUUUGAAAAAGCUGCAGAACCUGCAGCGAAACGCGUCAGCUGCCACCCUGAUCACCGUUGUUUUGUUGCUGAACCAGUGCCCGGACCAUACUGGAUGUCCAGAGUUUGCUAUUUGGUGGAUUCCAACAGGUGUACCAAGGACCAUCCCGCAAGUCAAGCUCCGCAUACUGGUGAGGAUUGAGAAUAUGCUACCAACUCCCAACUGAAGGAUCUUCUAUGGGAUAUUUCUCCCUCCAGCGGCAUAAGAAGCGGUAAUAACCCUUUUCGGGACUGUGCAAUCAGCUCCUAAGCCUGUAUAAUCUGCCUAAACUGGUGUCCAAUUAUUUAAAAGGAACGGACAUUUCUGGUUCACUAAUUCUGCCGGUGGUCACAUUGACUUUUAAUUGGUUAUUAAUCAGAGUAUUUAAUUAAAAAUUUUUAAUCUGUUUUCA